GCGGGAGUGGCGGAACUGGCAGACGCGCCAGACUUAGGAUCUGGUGCCGCAAGGCAUGGGGGUUCAAGUCCCUUCUCCCGCA
RNAcentral lists this transfer RNA (82 nucleotides) under Caldanaerobius fijiensis DSM 17918. It matches the Rfam family "tRNA". Rfam says of the family: Transfer RNA (tRNA) molecules are approximately 80 nucleotides in length. Their secondary structure includes four short double-helical elements and three loops (D, anti-codon, and T loops). Further hydrogen bonds mediate the characteristic L-shaped molecular structure. tRNAs have two regions of fundamental functional importance: the anti-codon, which is responsible for specific mRNA codon recognition, and the 3' end, to which the tRNAs corresponding amino acid is attached (by aminoacyl-tRNA synthetases). tRNAs cope with the degeneracy of the genetic code in two manners: having more than one tRNA (with a specific anti-codon) for a particular amino acid; and 'wobble' base-pairing, i.e. permitting non-standard base-pairing at the 3rd anti-codon position. The record is from Rfam by way of RNAcentral. Lineage: Bacteria; Bacillati; Bacillota; Clostridia; Thermoanaerobacterales; Thermoanaerobacteraceae.